This is a long non-coding RNA of Epinephelus moara (kelp grouper), 790 nucleotides long. RefSeq lists it as uncharacterized. The transcript is spliced from 4 exons. Lineage: Eukaryota; Metazoa; Chordata; Actinopteri; Perciformes; Serranidae. The record is from RefSeq and is a predicted model, not a curated record.
GGAUGUGAGCUGAGCUUGACAUCGUGUCCUGCCUGAGCUAACGCUAUGCUCAAUUUGUGUGUGCCUUCUAUUGUUGCAAAGCAAAAACGUGGUUAUGGAGGAUUAUAGCAGCUGUGGCUGGUGGUGGCGUAACCGUGGGCAUCAUCUUGGUGGUUUCUACAAUUCUCUGGAAAAGGAAAAGAACUGAGAAAUGUUCAUCCAAGAGACCAAAAGCAAACGACACUGGUUUACAGAGUGGUGAAGGAAUUUACAGUAUUGUCGUCUAUGAGUGUGACACUGAGUGACGACAGCAGCACCUCAGAGAAGCCUGAUACAUCAGCCCUGACUGACACACUGUACAGCACUCCAAAGUCAAUAUGAAAUACAAACAUUGUGUCUCUUGCUUCCUUUUCACUUUGCUUUCUUAGCGACAUGUAAUUUGAUGUUAAAAGUGCUUUACACGAGAGGAGUGAUUCACACACAUUUACCUCACAUGUACACAAAUUCAUUUUGUCACAGUGUGCACUUCUGACCUGCCAUACAUGUCAUUCUCUCAGUUAACCCAGUACAUUUCCACCCACCUGCCUCAGCUGCACACGUUUGAACUGUUUCCUGUUUGUAUGCAUCCCGCAAGCAAAAUAUUAAGGCCUCCAAUGUGGUAGAUUCAAUCUCAAUAAAGCACAUAUACUAGGUACUUUAAAAGGAUGUCAAGUGUGUUUCUGUGGCCUGUCUGUUAAUGUGAUCUACGUCUGAUGCUCGCUGUGGUUUUCCUGAAAGCAGCAAAUGACACUUUAGUUCAUGUAGUCAGACA